ACCAGCAACUAAAACAGGAACCAUUAAAUGAAUAUUAUACACAGCAAUAACAGCAUCAAAUAAUGGAAAUAAUGGACCCUAUUGCUCAAAU
Molecule: long non-coding RNA, 91 nt
Organism: Sitophilus oryzae (rice weevil)
Lineage: Eukaryota; Metazoa; Arthropoda; Insecta; Coleoptera; Curculionidae
Exons: 2
Source: RefSeq, a predicted model, not a curated record